RNAcentral lists this ribosomal RNA (228 nucleotides) under uncultured bacterium. RNAcentral describes it as "partial 16S ribosomal RNA". It matches the Rfam family "Bacterial small subunit ribosomal RNA", at positions 104 to 334 of the family's 1533-position model. The record is from RNAcentral.
CGGGGUGAGUAAUGUAUGGGGAUCUGCCUGAUGGCGGGGGAUAACUACUGGAAACGGUAGCUAAUACCGCAUAACGUCGCAAGACCAAAGAGGGGACCUUAGGGCCUCUUGCCAUCGGAUGUGCCCAGAUGGGAUUAGCUAGUAGGUGGGGUAACGGCUCACCUAGGCGACGAUCCCUAGCUGGUCUGAGAGGAUGACCAGCCACACUGGAACUGAGACACGGUCCAG